This 448-nucleotide long non-coding RNA is filed under the name Helianthus annuus (common sunflower). Its description in RNAcentral is "sRNA HanXRQr2_Chr13g0575141". Lineage: Eukaryota; Viridiplantae; Streptophyta; Magnoliopsida; Asterales; Asteraceae. The record is from RNAcentral.
UUUUUUUUUGAAACGUAUACUUCAUCACAACAUCUAAUAUGACUAUAGUCUCCACAAUAAUAAUUCGGAAUGCCUCCCCAUGUAUUUAGGACAUUAAACCUUUUUCAACAAUCCUUUCCCAUACAUCUUCUUUAGUUUCAAACACUCACUUGUCUUUUCAUCGGGCUUGUAGUAGUUAUUAAAAGGUUUUAUGAGGCUCGUACACUAAGACACUUUGUGUCUUGUUUUUCCACAUUUGUAGCAUUUUUUCUAUGUAAAGUCACAUUCCCUCGGAUGAUUUUGGCCGCGCAUCCUAGCAUUGAAAAGGUUUAGCUCGCGAAUUUGACUUCCUAUAAGAUAUAAAGAACUUGGUCGUCUCAGAAGAACUAAACAACUUUUUUACCUUCUGCAUCUCACCUUGUUCGCCUCAUUUUUUGAUGUUUCAAAAUUAGAAGAAUCCUGAGUAGAC